AAAGUACAAACGCAAAAUCUCAACGAAUAUUCCGAAAUUCAACAUUCUACAAAACCGAACAGUGUAUAUCUUUGUAGUAUUUUGUUACAAAAUCAAUACCUCAAAAGGUCUUCAAAAUUUACGGUCACCUUAAACAGAAGAUCAAUGGACAGUACUCUACUUUGGCAAUUUUAGUGGCCAGUAUCGACUUUGGGACAACGUUUUCCAGUUGGGCGUAUUCAUUUAAACAUGACUUUCAACAAGAACCAACAAAGAUUACUGCUAGGACAUGGAAUAGCGGAACAAACAUUUCACAGAAAGCUCCAACCGCUUUGUUAAUUAAGCCCGACGGAAAGACGUUGGACAAGUUUGGAUAUGAAGCAGAAUCAAAGUACGCUGAGCUUGCAGCGGAAGGUGAACAUAAGUCUUGGUACUUCUUCAGACGGUUCAAGAUGCAGCUAUUUAAAAAUAAGGCAGUUCGAAAAGAUCUGAAUAUUGAUGACGAAACAGGCAAACCAUUGGACGCAAUUACGUUGUUUGGAUUGGCUAUUGAGUUCCUCAAAAACGACAUGAUGAAAAAUUCCGGAGAAAAAGUCGUCGGCCAUAUUGAAGAAAACGACAUUAAAUGGGUAAUAACAGUCCCAGCCAUUUGGACAGAGAAAUCGAAACAAUUUAUGCGUGAAGCUGCCAAAAAGGCUGGUAUACCGAAUGAUCGUUUAGUUUUGGCGUUGGAACCCGAGGCAGUGUCAAUAUACUGUCGACAUUUACCUGUCCAGAAAGCAACUGCUGGUUCAACCUCGAUAUCCGCUUUCAAACCUGGAACAUGCUAUCUCAUUUGUGAUGCCGGGGGAGGAACAAUCGAUAUCACAAUUCAUGAGGUACUAUAAGGUUUUAAGUUGCGCGAAGUGGAGAAAGCUAGUGGCGGUGAUUGGGGUGGUACCAAAGUGGAUCAAGCGUUUGAAAAGCUGUUGGCAGAACUAGCAGGUGAGGGCGUGUUUUCUGAUUGGACAGGGAAUCACACAGACGACUAUCUUGAACUAAUGAGAAGGUUUGAAAUAAAAAAGCGGGCUUUAUCCAAAGAAACAUCAAAAGUCGUUUUAAGUUUACCCAUGAGCUUGAACGAAAUUGUGAAAUUGAAAAGACGUAUGACUUUAAAAGAAGCCAUUAAAAAAUCUAAAUAUGCAAAGGACAUUGUGCAAGAGAUGGACAAAUUGAAGGUCGAUGCUAAAAUAAUGCGAUCCCUUUUUGCUGAAUCAAUAGAUAAGGCUGUUACUCAUGUUAGAAAACUUCUACACACUUACAGUCAGGUGAGCCACAUCCUUCUUGCUGGCGGCUUCUCUGAAUCUCAGUUAUUUCAAGAUGCGAUGCAGCACAGCUUUCCUGGGAAAACGCUGAUAGUUCCUUCUGAUGCUGGUCUGGCUGUUCUUAAAGGCGCAGUUAUACAUGGACAUAACACGACGAUGAUAAGCUCGCGAAAAGCAAAGUUCGCCUACGGUGUGGGAUUCUAUGCAAAAUAUGAUCCAACACUACAUACCCCAGGACGUCAUAUCAAAAUAGGCAAACAUAAGGGUUAUGUUGCAGGAUGCUUUGAUACACUAAUAGAAAUGGAUAAAGAUCUGCAACAAGACAGUAUUUCCGCAAUAAAAUGCUACGAGCCUUUUCCGGGCGACCUGAAUGUAAUUGUAGAAUUGUUUUGUUGUGACAACAAUAGCCCCACGUAUGUUGAUGAACCAGGUUGUUUUAAGUUAGGUAAAGUAACCGUGGAUUGUCCUGCUAGGGAUGACUUGGUUACAGUCUCGCUGUUUCUUGGAGGAACAGAAUUAAAAGUGUCUGCGGUUAAUUCUGUAGGAAAGGCGGUUUCUGCUACAUUUGAUUUACCAGAUUGAAUUAAAUCGGUUUAUUUGUGUCGAUGAGCGGAUAAAGUACGUACAACGGAAGGAUAUUAAGACACUUAGUUGACAUCUGUUAAAGCAUUUGCAUUGGUGUCUGCCAUCUAAACUUCUGAAACUUUUGUUGUAUACAAAGUAUAACAGACAAUAUGGUUUUAGAAAAGACAACAUUGCACAAUAUUUUAUAUUGCCUUAUCGUGAAUCGAGUGUUCACAUAUUCUGUAGGGACUUAAUAGUUUAUAUCAUAUACACAGUGCGAACUCAAUUAUUCUUUAGACUGUAUACAGCGUUUAAGUUUAUAUUGACAUCUACAAUUCUAACACGACGCGCGCAAAAUAUGCAAACAAAAAAGGUAUAAAAUCGUUGGUCAUUCUGCAAUAAUAAAGGGCGUAGAUAAGAAAUUCCAAGUACGUGCUCAAAUUAACAACUGAGAGAAACAUGUACAAGGAUUAAAUUAGAGACAGUUUUUCAAAUUUAACUUAAGGCUUAUUUGAAAGCUGUACUGUUAAAUCGUGGCAGCGUAAUGGUUUGCUAAACGAAUAUUUUUUGCCAGCGUUGAUAUAUUAGCGUCUUUUGAAAUGUAUGUAGUAUUUUAAUGAUUUUUUUUUAAAUUUGAUUUGCUACCCACAGAAAUGCACGGAGGACGUUCGGAUUAAUUAAUCAUUAAAAUGUUUACACAAACGAUGUAAACUAUGAUGAAGAAUUUAUGUCGAAAUUAUGUCGCUGUAUGUCGAAUUAACAUAUUGCGGUAUUUAACAAACGACUGGAAAAAUAUUGCACCAACAGUAUCACGCGAUCCAAAAAGGGUGCUGCACUGUAGAUGCAAUGUUCUUCAUUCAUUAAUCGAUAAACGUGUUUAAUAUUAUAUACGUCGAUUUGAUGAAAAAAACUUUGGUUUCAUACUAAGAAAUGCACAUCGGUUGACAUUAUAUAGUCAGUAUCGACGGGAAAGUAAUAAUAAUUAUUAGAGAUAUGUAUGAAAAAGUUACAUCAUAUGUAAAUUCAAGUUUUUACUAUUCAGAUUGUUUUAAUUACGUAGUUGGAUUAAGUCAAAGGAAUGGUAUGUCGCCUGUGGUGUUUUUCACUAUUUGAUGAAGAAAUAAAACGAAAUACAGUCUUGUUUGAAUAUUGAUGUUAUUGUGCUAAUAUUGUUGUUUUUGCGGAUGAUAUGGCUUUUAGGUAAAAUCACAGAAAAAAUACACACUCAUUUAGAUUGCUUAAAUAUAAUAAUGUUGCGGUUAGACAGUUAAUACUUCUAAAACUAAGAUUAUUGUAAACUUGGAGAGUACCUUCCACGGAAUCUUGGACUCACAACAGCACACCCAUCGAAGUUGUAAAUAACUUUAAUUAUUUAGAUUGUGUUUAUGUUAUAAUGGUAAUUUCAGAACACAAUUACAGGUAAAUCGCAACAAGCUUACAUAUAUUGUUCUGGAAGUGUAGUCAUUUUGAGUGUAAACCUAAAUUCAUUUGUCAGUUGUUUGAUGUGUUUGUGUCGACCUAUCUUGAUAUUUCUUGUUAAGUUUGGGGAUAUAAACAGUCAAAAGGAAAUCGAAUGAAUUCAUUUUAGUAUUGCUUUGCAUUGACCGGUGACCCCAUCUUUAUUCUUAUAUGUCUUUAUAUUGCUUUGUAUUGUGCUGUUUUGUACUGUUUUUGCCAUUGGUAACUUGCCUUAAAUAAAGGACCAACUAAUUGUAUAUAAUGAGAAUGCAAUACUGCUCCAGCAGCUGGAGUUUCACUUCUUUAUAUUGUAAACGUGUAUUGUUUGUAUUCACAAAAAUAAAUGCGUUGUUAUGAAUUAUGUACUAUACAUAUGUUCCAUGAAUUGUCCACGCGUUUCUUGGUUGUAAUUAAUUGUAAAUAAAAACUGGAAUCUA
Dreissena polymorpha is the source of this 3742-nucleotide long non-coding RNA. RefSeq lists it as uncharacterized. The record is from RefSeq and is a predicted model, not a curated record. NCBI's taxonomy places the organism in Eukaryota, Metazoa, Mollusca, Bivalvia, Myida, Dreissenidae. The transcript is spliced from 7 exons.